RNAcentral lists this ribosomal RNA (468 nucleotides) under uncultured bacterium. RNAcentral describes it as "partial 16S ribosomal RNA". It matches the Rfam family "Bacterial small subunit ribosomal RNA", at positions 28 to 507 of the family's 1533-position model. The record is from RNAcentral.
GAUGAACGCUGGCGGCGUGCUUAACACAUGCAAGUCGAACGGUGAAGGCGCAUCUUGCUCUGCUGGAUCAGUGGCGAACGGGUGAGUAACACGUAAGCAAUCUGCCCCUGACUAUGGGAUAAGCGCUGGAAACGGCGUCUAACACUGGAUACGAGCUGCAAAGGCAUCGUCAGCAGCUGGAAAGAAUUGCGGUCAGGGAUGAGUGCGCGGCUUAUCAGUUUGUUGGUGAGGUAAUGGCUCACGAAGUCAUCGACGGGUAGCCGGCCGGAGAAGGUGAACGGCCCCCAUAGUACUGAGAGACGCACCAGUCUCCUACGUGAGGCAGCAGGGGGAAGUCUUGUACAACAAGGCCACGCGUGAGGUGGCGGCGUCGCGUGUGGGACGAGGGCUUUCGCGGUAUGAAACUCUUUUAGCAAAGAAGAAGGGAAAGUGACGGUACCGGCAGAAAAAGCGCCGGCUAACUACGUG